Daphnia magna is the source of this 1037-nucleotide long non-coding RNA. RefSeq lists it as uncharacterized. Lineage: Eukaryota; Metazoa; Arthropoda; Branchiopoda; Diplostraca; Daphniidae. The transcript is spliced from 2 exons. The record is from RefSeq and is a predicted model, not a curated record.
CUCUGAAAUCACUGCUUUAUGUUCGUUAAAGCAUAGACUACAAGGUAAAGACUGAACUCCCCUAUAACCCUCCACAGGCGAUGCUUCUGCAUGCCGGUAGGGGUCAGGCCGUACCGGUUAACAAGGCAAUUUAGUCGUUCCCCGUUUCCCUACUGAUUACGUGCUUCACACACACGCAUUUUCGGGUAUAGACCUUUUUAAGAUUGCUCGGUGUAAGCACAGCGAAAAGUCGUGCGGCUAGUCGACUAGUGCGCACCAUGGCGGGGGAUAGCCGUAACUAGCUGCAGACUUGGCUUGAUUCUUCGAAUCACCUUGUUGUUCGGCUCUAUGUUACUGUAGUCUGCUAGUGUAUUAAAGAUGUAAGGGAUGAAAACUAUGAGAAUUACAAUAAUAACUACCUGAGACAAAGUGAUGUGAACACACAAAAUAGUUGCAACUUCUUCCAUAAAUCAACGCAAUAGGUUUGACAUACAACACAGAGUGCCAGACUACAGUAACAUAGAGCCGAACAACAAGGUGAUUCGAAGAAUCAAGCCAAGUCUGCAGCUAGUUACGGCUAUCCCCCGCCAUGGUGCGCACUAGUCGACUAGCCGCACGACUUUUCGCUGUGCUUACACCGAGCAAUCUUAAAAAGGUCUAUAUGGAAUUCAUAUUGAUUUUUAUAUUUUAUACUAUAAUUUUAUAUAGCCCUUCCACGUGUCUCUUGAAUUUUUGCUUAAUUUUACUUGCAAAUUCGGGUGUAGAAAAAAAAGUUUUAUGUGACCAUCGUUUCUCAUGAAUAUUUGGAUUUUUAAAUGAAAUCUUGAAACACUGUUGUGAAUUUGUAGGCGUCAUUUACAUUGUUUACGCUGUGGUUUUUCAAGGAUUAUGUUGUUCUGUGGUGUUCAAAAUAAAACAAAAGGCAUUUAAUUAAUUUUGGUUAUGAAUCUCGCUAGGCGAUAAAUGAUAAAUAUAUGUGAUAAUUCGAUUCUUGAGUGAUCAGAAGUCAGUGUUUAAAAGGUUGUCAGUCACUGAAUAAUACAUACAUCUUGAACAUA